RNAcentral lists this transfer RNA (67 nucleotides) under Marmota monax (woodchuck). RNAcentral's name for it is "tRNA.Ala". Lineage: Eukaryota; Metazoa; Chordata; Mammalia; Rodentia; Sciuridae. The record is from RNAcentral.
GGUUAUAGCUCAGUGGUACAGCACUUGCCUAGCAUGUGAGUGGCCCUGGGUUCGAUCCUCUGCACCA